AGUUUGAUCAUGGCUCAGAACGAACGCUGGCGGCAGGCCUAACACAUGCAAGUCGAGCGCUCACUUCGGUGGGAGCGGCGGACGGGUUAGUAACGCGUGGGAAUAUGCCCGGUACUAAGGAAUAGCCUUUGGAAACGAAGAGUAAUACCUUAUACGCCCUUCGGGGGAAAGAUUUAUCGGUAUCGGAUUAGCCCGCGUAAGAUUAGAUAGUUGGUGGGGUAAUGGCCUACCAAGUCUACGAUCUUUAGCUGGUUUUAGAGGAUGAUCAGCAACACUGGGACUGAGACACGGCCCAGACUCCUACGGGAGGCAGCAGUGGGGAAUCUUAGACAAUGGGCGCAAGCCUGAUCUAGCCAUGCCGCGUGAGUGAAGAAGGCCUUAGGGUCGUAAAACUCUUUCGCCAGAGAUGAUAAUGACAGUAUCUGGUAAAGAAACCCCGGCUAACUCCGUGCCAGCAGCCGCGGUAAUACGGAGGGGGUUAGCGUUGUUCGGAAUUACUGGGCGUAAAGCGCACGUAGGCGGACUGGAAAGUUGGGGGUGAAAUCCCGGGGCUCAACCUCGGAACUGCCUCCAAAACUA
Molecule: ribosomal RNA, 579 nt
Filed under: uncultured bacterium
Lineage: Bacteria
Description: bacterial SSU rRNA
Rfam family: Bacterial small subunit ribosomal RNA
Source: RNAcentral